UGCCAGCCGCCGCGGUAAUACGGAGGGUGCAAGCGUUAAUCGGAAUUACUGGGCGUAAAGCGCGCGUAGGCGGUUGUCUAAGCUAGAUGUGAAAGCCCCGGGCUCAACCUGGGAACUGCAUUCGAUACUGGCAGACUAGAGUAUAGAAGAGGCAAGUGGAAUUCCGGGUGUAGCGGUGAAAUGCGUAGAUAUCCGGAGGAACAUCAGUGGCGAAGGCGACUUGCUGGUCUAAUACUGACGCUGAGGUACGGAAGCGUGGGUAGCCAACAGGAUUAGAUA
RNAcentral lists this ribosomal RNA (279 nucleotides) under uncultured bacterium. Its description in RNAcentral is "partial 16S ribosomal RNA". It matches the Rfam family "Bacterial small subunit ribosomal RNA", at positions 506 to 784 of the family's 1533-position model. The record is from RNAcentral.